UCCGUCUUCAGGUUAUUACAACUUUGUAAAUGUCUUGGAAACAUUUACAAAGUUGUAAUAAUCUGAAGACGGAC
Paramuricea clavata is the source of this 74-nucleotide non-coding RNA. The record is from the annotation of a GenBank genome assembly. Lineage: Eukaryota; Metazoa; Cnidaria; Anthozoa; Malacalcyonacea; Plexauridae.